AUAAAAAACCAAUGCCUUCGGGCUCCUUGGUGAUUCAUGAUAACUUAACGAAUCGCAUGGCCUUGCGCCGGCGAUGGUUCAUUCAAAUUUCUGCCCUAUCAACUUUCGAUGGUAGGAUAGUGGCCUACCAUGGUUUCAACGGGUAACGGGGAAUUAGGGUUCGAUUCCGGAGAGGGAGCCUGAGAAACGGCUACCACAUCCAAGGAAGGCAGCAGGCGCGCAAAUUACCCAAUCCCAAUUCGGGGAGGUAGUGACAAUAAAUACUGAUACAGGGCUCUUUUGGGUCUUGUAAUUGGAAUGAGUACAAUUUAAAUCCCUUAACGAGGAACAAUUGGGGGGCAAGUCUGGUGCCAGCAGCCGCGGUAAUUCCAGCUCCAAUAGCGUAUAUUAAAGUUGUUGCAGUUAAAAAGCUCGUAGUUGAACCUUGGGUCUGGCUGCCCGGUCCGCCUAACCGCGUGCACUGGUGCGGCCGGAUCUUUCCUUCUGGCUAACCUCAUGCCCUUUACUGGGUGUGCU
Molecule: ribosomal RNA, 516 nt
Filed under: uncultured fungus
Lineage: Eukaryota; Fungi
Description: SSU rRNA
Rfam family: Eukaryotic small subunit ribosomal RNA
Source: RNAcentral